GACGAACGCUGGCGGCGUGCUUAACACAUGCAAGUCGAACGGAAAGGCCCUGCUUUUGUGGGGUGCUCGAGUGGCGAACGGGUGAGUAACACGUGAGUAACCUGCCCUUGACUUUGGGAUAACUUCAGGAAACUGGGGCUAAUACCGGAUAGGAGCUCCUGCUGCAUGGUGGGGGUUGGAAAGUUUCGGCGGUUGGGGAUGGACUCGCGGCUUAUCAGCUUGUUGGUGGGGUAGUGGCUUACCAAGGCUUUGACGGGUAGCCGGCCUGAGAGGGUGACCGGCCACAUUGGGACUGAGAUACGGCCCAGACUCCUACAGGAGGCAGCAGUGGGGAAUAUUGCACAAUGGGCGGAAGCCUGAUGCAGCAACGCCGCGUGCGGGAUGACGGCCUUCGGGUUGUAAACCGCUUUCGCCUGUGACGAAGCGUGAGUGACGGUAAUGGGUGAAGAAGCACCGGCUAACUACGUG
Molecule: ribosomal RNA, 468 nt
Filed under: uncultured bacterium
Lineage: Bacteria
Description: partial 16S ribosomal RNA
Rfam family: Bacterial small subunit ribosomal RNA
Source: RNAcentral